Molecule: ribosomal RNA, 490 nt
Filed under: uncultured bacterium
Lineage: Bacteria
Description: partial 16S ribosomal RNA
Rfam family: Bacterial small subunit ribosomal RNA
Source: RNAcentral
GAUGAACGCUAGCUACAGGCUUAACACAUGCAAGUCGCGGGGCAGCAUGGGGGUUGCUUGCAAUCCCCGAUGGCGACCGGCGCACGGGUGAGUAACGCGUAUCCAACCUGCCCUUCACCACGGGAUAACCCGGCGAAAGUCGGACUAAUACCGUAUGUUGUCCAUUGACGGCAUCCGAUUUGGACGAAAGGUUUGGCGGUGAAGGAUGGGGAUGCGUCCGAUUAGCUGGACGGCGGGGUGACGGCCCACCGUGGCGACGAUCGGUAGGGGUUCUGAGAGGAAGGUCCCCCACACUGGAACUGAGACACGGUCCAGACUCCUACGGGAGGCAGCAGUGAGGAAUAUUGGUCAAUGGGCGUAAGCCUGAACCAGCCAAGUAGCGUGCAGGAUGACGGCCCUAGGGGUUGUAAACUGCUUUUAUGCGGGGAUAAAGUGGCCCACGUGUGGGUUUUUGCAGGUACCGCAUGAAUAAGGACCGGCUAAUUCCGUG